This 725-nucleotide long non-coding RNA is filed under the name Sinocyclocheilus anshuiensis. Its description in RNAcentral is "lncRNA (ENSSANG00000014051.1)". Lineage: Eukaryota; Metazoa; Chordata; Actinopteri; Cypriniformes; Cyprinidae. The record is from RNAcentral.
CCAUCAUCGGUUCUCUUUUCAGAGCAGUUCAGCCGACCGGACAUCACUAGUCUAUUGGCGUAAACACGAGCUUUAACUCCCCCAUCUGGCGCACAAAACGUUGUAAAUUCUAAUAGUAAUUUCGGAUAAGAUUGCUACAACAAAUAAAUAGCGCUCUUUGUUGUUAUUAUGGAUGGCGUGUCAUAAAGUGAAAUGCUUAAACUCGGCAUGCUCUGUUUUUCUUUUUGGAAAAAAGAAACCGUGAUAUUCUGUCUUCUGCUUUUGUCUUCUAUCAUCUGCGUCAGAAUAUUAGAUUUCCUAUACACAAUUCUGAGCGAUUGAAGCUGUGGUUGCUCGCGCUGCACUUGGAUAUCAACACACCCGAACAUGCUCUGAUAUUUAAGAGAGUGUGCAGUGAUCAUUUUUUCGACGAUGAUUUCAAACCCUCCCAGCAAGGAAAUCGUCAUUUUCUGAAAGCGUCGGCUGUGCCCAAUACGUUUUACAGCAAACAGAGUAUCCGUCUCGUGGAAAUCUAGAGUCCCUAGCAAAAGACAAUGACGCUGAGCUGGAGGUCCAGGGAGCAGGAGUGUUUUUGGCUAAUGUUCCACAGUCAACACCAGCAAACGUCUCAGGUUACUUGUGUAACCAUGGUUCCCUGAGUAGGGAACGAGACACUGCGUCCUCUAGGGGUCGCUAUGGGGAACGCCUCGUCGUGACCCGUGUCUGAAGCAUACAUUGAAAACACA